RNAcentral lists this transfer RNA (77 nucleotides) under Oscillospiraceae bacterium. RNAcentral describes it as "tRNA-Val". It matches the Rfam family "tRNA". Rfam says of the family: Transfer RNA (tRNA) molecules are approximately 80 nucleotides in length. Their secondary structure includes four short double-helical elements and three loops (D, anti-codon, and T loops). Lineage: Bacteria; Bacillati; Bacillota; Clostridia; Eubacteriales; Oscillospiraceae. The record is from RNAcentral.
GGACGCGUAGCUCAGCUGGUUAGAGCGCUCGCCUCACACGCGAGAGGUCAUGGGUUCGAGUCCCGUCGUGUCCACCA